RNAcentral lists this ribosomal RNA (465 nucleotides) under uncultured bacterium. RNAcentral describes it as "partial 16S ribosomal RNA". It matches the Rfam family "Bacterial small subunit ribosomal RNA", at positions 28 to 507 of the family's 1533-position model. The record is from RNAcentral.
GACGAACGCUGGCGGCGUGCUUAACACAUGCAAGUCGAACGGAAAGGCCCCUUUGGGGGUCCUCGAGUGGCGCACGGGUGAGUAACACGUGAGUAACCUGCCCUUGACUUCGGGAUAACUUCAGUAAACUGGGGCUAAUACCGGAUAGGAAUCUUUGCUGCAUGGUGGGGGUUGGAAAGCUUCGGCGGUUUUGGUUUGACUCGCGGCUUAUCAGCUUGUUGGUGGGGUAGUGGCUUACCAAGGCGUUGACGGGUAGCCGGCCUGAGAGGGCGACCGGCGACAUUGGGACUGAGAGGCGGCCCAGACUCCUACGGGAGGGAGCAGGGGGGAAGAUUGACCAAGGGGCGGAAGCCUGAUGCAGCAACGCCGCGUGCGGGAUGACGGCCUUCGGGUUGUAAAACGCAUUCAGCAGGGGCGAAGCUUGUGGUGACGGUACCUGCAGAAGAAGCACCGGCUAACUACGUG